Long non-coding RNA from Equus caballus (horse), 2111 nucleotides. The record is from Ensembl. Lineage: Eukaryota; Metazoa; Chordata; Mammalia; Perissodactyla; Equidae.
AUCUACAACAACCAUUGGUCUUAGCGUCCUAUCUCUGUAUUUUGCUUUUGAGGUCACUUUUGAUAAGCCAAAAAUAAUUAUAGAAAGAAAUCUGUGGUGAUAUCCAAACUCUAAAACAACCCAGGAGUGACGGCCAUCCAGGGAGAGCUGCUGAAACGUUUUGGAAUAAAACCUGGGCAAGCCAACAACAGGCCCUGUUCUACAGGAUGCAACUUCAGGGACUUCAGGAAAGUCUUUCUGAUUUUAAGGAAGUUGAAUGAUGCAAUCCAACCAUGUGACCAGAAGCAGUAGUAACGGAACAUUUGUGAAAGUUUUUGCCGAGACUGCAGGGAUUCUCAAGAGAGACGCCAAAUGAAGUCAGGAGACCGCCAUGAUGGGGCCAGAAAGCACUGGAAAUUUAUACUCCCCUUUGUUUGCUUUGAGGAAUUGUGUAAGAUUUCUUCAAGAAGCCAUCUAAAUCCAGUAGCGGCUGCAGAACCACACCACACCGAGAAUCACGUGAGGACUCUGAGAGAUAGCUCUGCGUUCACACACCGCCUCUCCAACUUUCAAGCCUUGUGUGGUCUUUAGAGAGAAACCAGCUGCCAUAAUGUGCGUUGUCCUAUAGAGAGACCAAGGUGGCAAAAAACACCCCUGAGGAGUCCACUGGUCAGCAGCCAGUGAGAAACUGAAACCUGCAAUUCAACAACAAGUCAACGAGCCGUGAGAGUGGUCCUGGAAGUGAGUCCUCCCUCAGUCAAGCCUUGGAUGACUGCAUCCCUGAUCAACACCUUGAUUGCAUCCUCAUGAGAGAGCCUGAGGAAAGACCCAGUGAAGCCAUCUUUAGAUUCCUGCCCACAGAAACUGGGAGAAAAAUAAAUGUUUGCUGUUCUAGGUCAUUAACUUGUGGGGUUACUUAUCAUACAGCAACAGAUAAUUAAUACACAUGGUUUCAAAGAUGACUGGAUAUGGAUUAUAAAAGGGAAAAAAAUGCAAAACAACUUAUGACUUUUGCCUGUGAAAUGUACUUGCUAGUGUUAGAAAUGAUGACUUUGGGAGAAAGAACCACCUUGGGCAAAAGAGUCAAAUGAACUCUACUCUUGGUAAAAUUGAGGAAGUGGUUGGGCAUUCAGAAAUUAGAAAGGAGGGGUUAGAAAUUAGUGACCAUUCAUCCUUUUUAACGGACCCAGGAACGAGUGGGAAAGCUUUUCCUUACAAACUGUGCCAAACAUUUGGAAGAAGUACAAGAAGAAAGAGAGAAGGAAAGACGGAGAGAAAGACAGAGAGAUGGAGAAUAGAAGAAAAUAUAAUUAUGCUUUGGUAAAUAAUAAAACAUUUAUGGUAAUAUGUAGAAUUAUCAUUGAGGUUCCAGUGUAGAGUGUUGAAAAGUUGAAAACACUGUAGGGAAUGAUUUCCAUGAUCCCCAAUCUCUCAAAGAAAUUAUUUUACCUCAAAAUUAUGUUGAGAAUAUUCGAUCUCUCCCUUUAGAAAUUAAAGCAAUAGAAAAUGAAAGCACUGGCUUUAUAAUUUUGCAUCAAUGAUAUCAAUAUUUCAAGAAGAUUUUCAUGUUACUGCUCUCUAUUGUGCCAUCUGCAUUUUGGUAAGCAGGCUCUGAUUUCUUCCAUAAGUAACACUUAAUUCUCCAAAUUCUGGAAAGAGUAACUACUUUUAUAAGUGAAAAGUAGAAUUUCAAACUCCUUUAAAGUAACGUAAAUCAGAAUUCCCUAGACCCAUCAAAUUUCUCUAUAUUUUGUAACACUCUUUCAAUAUUUAACUAAUGAACAAACUUGCUUUUCAAAAUACUGUGAAUUGGUACAUGCAGAAUCAGUUUCUAAAUCAUUCAGGUAAGAAUCAUCUUGUUUGUCAGAAAGCAUUUACUUAAAUAAUACAUUUAGCAUAUUUUCACAUUAUUAUGGCAUUGAAAGUGAUGUUUGUUCCUUUAAAUAAUUCAAAUGAGUAAGACUGACUCUGUAUCUUGCAGGCACAAUCUGAAUUUUUACUGUACAAAUGGACUACAAAGCUAUUAGUGUAUUGCACACCUUAUUUUGAUUCAGAAAGGAUUUCUGUAUCUACACACUGUUAUCUUUUCUGUGAUAUUUUCAUUUCAGAUACAACUAAAAUUUCGAAUACCC